RNAcentral lists this non-coding RNA (69 nucleotides) under Aeromonas salmonicida subsp. salmonicida. The record is from RNAcentral. Lineage: Bacteria; Pseudomonadati; Pseudomonadota; Gammaproteobacteria; Aeromonadales; Aeromonadaceae.
UAGGUCACGACCCCGAACUCUCUGGAUCUUCCGCCAAGUUGAUAAACAGAGAUUCGGGGUUUGUUUUUU